Molecule: long non-coding RNA, 861 nt
Filed under: Betta splendens (Siamese fighting fish)
Lineage: Eukaryota; Metazoa; Chordata; Actinopteri; Anabantiformes; Osphronemidae
Description: lncRNA (ENSBSLG00000019033.1)
Source: RNAcentral
CCAUCGUCUUUUUCUGUUUGAUGCAAUAUUUUUUUUUAUCACAGCUUGAAUAGGUGCAUUACAACAAAAACCCAAAGCAAAUUGAAUGUUUGUUAUGCAACAUUUAAUAUUAGUAUGUAAAAAACAAACCAGUCUGUGUUGAAUGUUAUGUGAUCUGUUUAUUAGAACAAAUCCAACCUUUGAUCUUACAGAAGAUUGAGUUAUGAUUAUUGCUGAAUUGUGCUGGUCAGAUUAAUAUAAAUCCCAUCUACCCCAAAGCGUGUAGGAUUCAAUGCAGACUCUGCUUCUGGGAAGCAGAGGGGAGAGGUCCAGGGAUGGAGCAUCCAGGAUGACUGUAGAGGUUUAGUUAGUGAUGACUGAGUAGAUAAGGAUCUGAAAGUUCAGGGAGUAACUCUAACUGAUAUCUGCACAUGAUCAAUGCAUUAUGUUAGCAAUUUAAUCGAUACCUUUCCUCAAGUUUGUGCAAUGAUGCCAGCCAGAGAAGUCCUUCAGCAUCAGCACCACCUUCUGCCUGUUUGCUAAGUGAAACCACACUAAAAUGACUCCAUCACUGCUGAGGGGGAAGCUGGAGAGACAGACAGUUUCCAAGGCUGUGUGACCGUGACCCAUCAGAUGUCCAAGUACAACUCCCACAACUGGUCACCAGUUAAACCCAGUCAUCAUAGUGACACCGCCAUCGUUGCUGUGUAUCCAGAGAGAACAAGCAGAGACACACAGCAGCCAUCCCUGACUUUGUGGACUGGUGUGAGAGACAGGAAGAGACUCAGGAAGAGUAGAGUGGAUUUCCUAUUUGAGGCAGCUCUGUUACAUGCUCAGUACAGAGAGAAGUGUUCAGUGUGUAAAAACAAUACAAUGUUGUAG